This 411-nucleotide ribosomal RNA is filed under the name uncultured bacterium. RNAcentral describes it as "bacterial SSU rRNA". It matches the Rfam family "Bacterial small subunit ribosomal RNA", at positions 976 to 1381 of the family's 1533-position model. The record is from RNAcentral.
UGGUCUUGACAUCCCGAGAAUAUCUAAGAAAUUAGAAGGUGCUUCCUUACGGAAGAACUCGGUGACAGGUGCUGCAUGGCUGUCGUCAGCUCGUGUCGUGAGAUGUUGGGUUAAGUCCCGCAACGAGCGCAACCCACGUCUUUAGUUGCCAUCAUUAAGUUGGGCACUCUAGAGAGACUGCCGGUGUCAAACCGGAGGAAGGUGUGGAUGACGUCAAGUCCUCAUGGCCUUUAUGACCAGGGCUACACACGUACUACAAUGGCAUGUACAAAGGGCAGCUAACUCGCGAGAGUACGCGAAUCCCAUAAAGCAUGUCUCAGUCCGGAUAGGAGUCUGCAACUCGACUCCUUGAAGCUGGAAUCGCUAGUAAUCGUGGAUCAGCAUGCCACGGUGAAUACGUUACACGGGCCU